GACGAACCGUGCGAACGUUAUUCGGAAUCACUGGGCUUAAAGCGCGUGUAGGCGGCCCGGCGCGUCUUUCGCUGAAAUCCCCCGGCUCAACCGGGGAAGGGGCGGGGAUACGGCCGGGCUGGAGGGGGGUAGGGGGAUCGGGAACUUCCGGUGGAGCGGUGAAAUGCGUUGAGAUCGGAAGGAACGCCCGCGGCGAAAGCGCGGUCCUGGACCCCACCUGACGCUGAGACGCGAAAGCCAGGGGAGCGAACGGG
Molecule: ribosomal RNA, 254 nt
Filed under: uncultured bacterium
Lineage: Bacteria
Description: partial 16S ribosomal RNA
Rfam family: Bacterial small subunit ribosomal RNA
Source: RNAcentral